This 432-nucleotide ribosomal RNA is filed under the name uncultured bacterium. RNAcentral's name for it is "bacterial SSU rRNA". It matches the Rfam family "Bacterial small subunit ribosomal RNA", at positions 29 to 507 of the family's 1533-position model. The record is from RNAcentral.
AACGAACGCUGGCGGCAGGCCUUAUACAUGCAAGUCGAGCGCAUCCUUCAGGAUGAGCGGCGGACGGGUGAGUAACGCGUGGGAAUGUGCCCUUCUCUACGGAAUAGCCACUGGAAACGGUGAGUAUACCGAUACGCCCUUUAGGGGGAAAGAUUUAUCGGAGAAGGAUCGGCCCGCGUUAGAUUAGAUAGUUGGUGGGGUAACGGCCUACCAAGUCUACGAUCUAUAGCUGGUUUUAGAGGAUGAUCAGCAACACUGGGACUGAGACACGGCCCAGACUCCUACGGGAGGCAGCAGUGGGGAAUAUUGGACAAUGGGCGCAAGCCUGAUCUAGCCAUACCGCGUGAGUGAUGAAGGCCUUAGGGUCGUAAAGCUCUUUCGCCAGGGAAGAUAAUGACUGUACCUGGUAAAGAAGUCCCGGCUAACUCCGUG